RNAcentral lists this ribosomal RNA (279 nucleotides) under uncultured bacterium. RNAcentral's name for it is "partial 16S ribosomal RNA". It matches the Rfam family "Bacterial small subunit ribosomal RNA", at positions 506 to 784 of the family's 1533-position model. The record is from RNAcentral.
UGCCAGCCGCCGCGGUAAUACGUGGGUGGCAAACGUUGUUCGGAAUCACUGGGCAUAAAGAGUCUGUAGGCGGUUUGGUAAGUCAGGUGUGAAAUCCCGGGGCUCAACCCCGGAAUUGCACUUGAUACUGCUAGACUAGAAUAACGGAGAGGUAAGCGGAAUUCAUGGUGUAGCGGUGAAAUGCGUUGAUAUCAUGGAGAACACCAAUGGCGAAGGCAGCUUACUGGACGAUUAUUGACGCUGAGAGACGAAAGCUAGGGUAGCGAAAGGGAUUAGAUA